This 452-nucleotide long non-coding RNA is filed under the name Homo sapiens (human). Its description in RNAcentral is "non-protein coding lnc-LGALS9B-2:3". The record is from RNAcentral. Lineage: Eukaryota; Metazoa; Chordata; Mammalia; Primates; Hominidae.
CUGCAGUCCCAGCUACUCAGGAGGCUGAGGUGGGAGGAUCGCUUGAACUCAGGAGUUGAAGGCUGCAGUGGGUGAGGAUCACAACACUGAAUUCCAGCUGAGGUGACAGAAUGAGACCCUGUCUCUCUAAAAAACAAGCAAGCAAACAAACCAAAAACCACAAACAAACCAGACCCCUCUUAGCAGAAUACUUCCAUGAGGUAAUAAAAGAAAGAAGAAAGUGAAACGAACAAACAAUUUUACUCAAGAAACUAGUGAGAAAUCAAAGAAAUGUCCAAGAAGUAGGAUACAAGAAUUAAUCAAAACAGAUUAACAGUGGAAUAAAUAAAUGAAUCCAACUGGUUCUUUGUAAUGGAAUGUGGAAAGACAUACUCUAUUCUUCUGGAUAGGAAGAUGAAAUAUCAUAAUCAUAUCAAUGCAAGUUUUAUGCAUGCUCAAACAUGUAUAAACUA